Molecule: ribosomal RNA, 69 nt
Filed under: Fusobacterium necrophorum
Lineage: Bacteria; Fusobacteriati; Fusobacteriota; Fusobacteriia; Fusobacteriales; Fusobacteriaceae
Description: partial 16S ribosomal RNA
Source: RNAcentral
AAACAUCGAACGAAGAGUUUGAUCCUGGCUCAGGAUGAACGCUGACAGAAUGCUUAACACAUGCAAGUC